This 486-nucleotide ribosomal RNA is filed under the name uncultured bacterium. RNAcentral describes it as "partial 16S ribosomal RNA". It matches the Rfam family "Bacterial small subunit ribosomal RNA", at positions 355 to 858 of the family's 1533-position model. The record is from RNAcentral.
UGGGGAAUAUUGCACAAUGGGCGAAAGCCUGAUCCAGCAAUGCCGCGUGUGUGAAGAAGGUCUUCGGAUUGUAAAGCACUUUCGACGGGGACGAUGAUGACGGUACCCGUAGAAGAAGCCCCGGCUAACUUCGUGCCAGCAGCCGCGGUAAUACGAAGGGGGCUAGCGUUGCUCGGAAUGACUGGGCGUAAAGGGCGUGUAGGCGGUUUACACAGUCAGAUGUGAAAUCCCCGGGCUUAACCUGGGAGCUGCAUUUGAUACGUGUAGACUAGAGUGUGAGAGAGGGUUGUGGAAUUCCCAGUGUAGAGGUGAAAUUCGUAGAUAUUGGGAAGAACACCGGUGGCGAAGGCGGCAACCUGGCUCAUGACUGACGCUGAGGCGCGAAAGCGUGGGGAGCAAACAGGAUUAGAUACCCUGGUAGUCCACGCUGUAAACGAUGUGUGCUAGAUGUUGGUUAACUUUGUUAUUCAGUGUCGCAGUUAACGC